Molecule: ribosomal RNA, 440 nt
Filed under: uncultured bacterium
Lineage: Bacteria
Description: partial 16S ribosomal RNA
Rfam family: Bacterial small subunit ribosomal RNA
Source: RNAcentral
CCUACGGGAGGCAGCAGUGGGGGAUAUUGCACAAUGGGGGAAACCCUGAUGCAGCGACGCCGCGUGGGUGAAGAAGCGCCUCGGCGCGUAAAGCCCUGUCAGCAGGGAAGAAAAUGACGGUACCUGAAGAAGAAGCCCCGGCUAACUACGUGCCAGCAGCCGCGGGAAUACGUAGGGGGCAAGCGUUAACCGGAUUUACUGGGGGGAAAGGGGGCGCAGACGGCGAUGCAAGCCAAGGGUGAAAGCCCGGGGCCCAACCCCGGGACUGCUCUGGGAACUGGGUGGCUGGAGUGCAGGAGGGGCUGGCGGAAUGCCAGGUGUAGGGGGGAAAGGCGUAGAUAUCAGGAGGAACACCGGUGGCGAAGGCGGCCUGCUGGACUGCAACUGACGUUGAGGCGCGAAAGCGUGGGGAGCAAACAGGAUUAGAUACCCGAGUAGUC